CACAGGCUGAUUACAGGGCAUUCUGAACAGCCACAGGGAGUGUGUGUGUGUGUGUGUGUGUGUGUGUGUGUGUGUGUGUGUGUGUGUGUUAGCACAUAGGCAUGGCUCUAAACACAGGCGGUGGUGGCAUUCCUGGCCCUGGGCGCUGCCGCCUCUUGAAGAUGAAGCUUCAAGAAUUCAGGAAAUGUGCACAAGUUUGCCUCUCAAAUGGAGAACGGUGAAAACCAACACAUUUAGCUGAACUGCACCAAUGUUGUCAAGAGGAGUGGUCAACAAUUCCAGCAGAAGCUUGUGGAUGACUACCAAAAGCCCCUUUUUGCAGUGCCAAAACCACCAGUAACUGGUGUACUGAUCACGGGAUUACUGUCCUCGAUUGGCCUGACAACUCCCCUGACCUAAACCCCAAACAGAAUCUGUGGAGUAUUGUGAAGAAGAAGUUGAAAGACACCAGACCCAAUAAUGCAAAGGAGCUGAAGGGCGCUAUUGAAGCAUCCUGGGCAUCCAUAACAUCUCAGCAAUGCCACUAUUGAAGCAUCCUGGGCAUCCAUAACAUCUCAGCAAUGCCACUAUUGAAGCAUCCUGGGCAUCCAUAACAUCUCAGCAAUGCCACUAUUGAAGCAUCCUGGGCAUCCAUAACACCUCAGCAAUGCCACUAUUGAAGCAUCCUGGGCAUCCAUAACAUCUCAGCAAUGCCACUAUUGAAGCAUCCUGGGCAUCCAUAACACCUCAGCAAUGCCACUAUUGAAGCAUCCUGGGCAUCCAUAACACCUCAGCAAUGCCACUAUUGAAGCAUCCUGGGCAUCCAUAACAUCUCAGCAAUGCCACUAUUGAAGCAUCCUGGGCAUCCAUAACACCUCAGCAAUGCCACUAUUGAAGCAUCCUGGGCAUCCAUAACACCUCAGCAAUGCCACUAUUGAAGCAUCCUGGGCAUCCAUAACAUCUCAGCAAUGCCACUAUUGAAGCAUCCUGGGCAUCCAUAACACCUCAGCAAUGCCACUAUUGAAGCAUCCUGGGCAUCCAUAACAUCUCAGCAAUGCCACUAUUGAAGC
Molecule: long non-coding RNA, 1049 nt
Organism: Nerophis ophidion (straightnose pipefish)
Lineage: Eukaryota; Metazoa; Chordata; Actinopteri; Syngnathiformes; Syngnathidae
Exons: 3
Source: RefSeq, a predicted model, not a curated record